GACGAACGCUGGCGGCGUGCUUAACACAUGCAAGUCGAACGGAAAGGCCUGCAGCUUGCUGCGGGUACUCGAGUGGCGAACGGGUGAGUAACACGUGGGUGAUCUGCCUUGCACUUCGGGAUAAGCUUGGGAAACUGGGUCUAAUACCGGAUAGGACAGCUGUUUAGUGUCAGUUGUGGAAAGUUUUUUCGGAGCAAGAUGAGCUCGCGGCCUAUCAGCUUGUUGGUGGGGUAAUGGCCUACCAAGGCGUCGACGGGUAGCCGGCCUGAGAGGGUGUACGGCCACAUUGGGACUGAGAUACGGCCCAGACUCCUACGGGAGGCAGCAGUGGGGAAUAUUGCACAAUGGGCGGAAGCCUGAUGCAGCGACGCCGCGUGGGGGAUGAAGGCCUUCGGGUUGUAAACUCCUUUCGACAGGGACGAAGCGUAAGUGACGGUACCUGUAUAAGAAGCACCGGCUAACUACGUGCCAGCAGCCGCGGUAAUACGUAGGGUGCGAGCGUUGUCCGGAAUUACUGGGCGUAAAGAGCUCGUAGGUGGUUUGUCGCGUCGUCUGUGAAAUUCCGGGGCUUAACUCCGGGCGUGCAGGCGAUACGGGCUGACUUGAGUGCUGUAGGGGAGACUGGAAUUCCUGGUGUAGCGGUGAAAUGCGCAGAUAUCAGGAGGAACACCGAUGGCGAAGGCAGGUCUCUGGGCAGUAACUGACGCUGAGGAGCGAAAGCAUGGGUAGCGAACAGGAUUAGAUACCCUGGUAGUCCAUGCCGUAAACGGUGGGCGCUAGGUGUAGGGGGCUUCCACGUCUUCUGUGCCGUAGCUAACGCAUUUAGCGCCCCGCCUGGGGAGUACGGCCGCAAGGCUA
RNAcentral lists this ribosomal RNA (858 nucleotides) under uncultured Actinomycetes bacterium. RNAcentral's name for it is "bacterial SSU rRNA". It matches the Rfam family "Bacterial small subunit ribosomal RNA", at positions 28 to 896 of the family's 1533-position model. The record is from RNAcentral. Lineage: Bacteria; Bacillati; Actinomycetota; Actinomycetes.